Molecule: ribosomal RNA, 521 nt
Filed under: uncultured Glomeraceae
Lineage: Eukaryota; Fungi; Glomeromycota; Glomeromycetes; Glomerales; Glomeraceae
Description: SSU rRNA
Rfam family: Eukaryotic small subunit ribosomal RNA
Source: RNAcentral
AGCAGCCGCGGUAAUUCCAGCUCCAAUAGCGUAUAUUAAAGUUGUUGCAGUUAAAAAGCUCGUAGUUGAAUUUCGGGAUCAAUAUGUUGGUCGUGCCUCGGUACGUACUAGCAUAUUGGUUUCUCCUUUCUGAAGAACCAUGAUGUCAUUUAUUUGGUGUCGUGGGGAAUCAGGACUGUUACUUUGAAAAAAUUAGAGUGUUUAAAGCAGGCUCACGCUUGAAUACAUUAGCAUGGAAUAAUGAAAUAGGACGUUUGAUUCUAUUUUGUUGGUUUCUAGGAUCGACGUAAUGAUUAAUAGGGAUAGUUGGGGGCAUUAGUAUUCAAUUGUCAGAGGUGAAAUUCUUGGAUUUAUUGAAGACUAACUACUGCGAAAGCAUUUGCCAAGGAUGUUUUCAUUAAUCAAGAACGAAAGUUAGGGGAUCGAAGACGAUCAGAUACCGUCGUAGUCUUAACCAUAAACUAUGCCGACUAGGGAUCGGAUGAUGUUAAUUUUUUAAUGACUCAUUCGGCGCCUUACGG